GCGGAGGAAAAGAAACUAACAAGGAUUCCCCUAGUAGCGGCGAGCGAAGCGGGAAGAGCUCAAAUUUAUAAUCUGGCACCUUCGGUGUCCGAGUUGUAAUCUCUAGAAAUGUUUUCCGCGUUGGACCGCACACAAGUCUGUUGGAAUACAGCGGCAUAGUGGUGAGACCCCCGUAUAUGGUGCGGACGCCCAGCGCUUUGUGAUACAUUUUCGAAGAGUCGAGUUGUUUGGGAAUGCAGCUCAAAUUGGGUGGUAAAUUCCAUCUAAAGCUAAAUAUUGGCGAGAGACCGAUAGCGAACAAGUACCGUGAGGGAAAGAUGAAAAGCACUUUGGAAAGAGAGUUAACAGUACGUGAAAUUGUUGGAAGGGAAACGCUUGAAGUCAGACUUGCUUGCCGAGCAAUCGGUUUGCAGGCCAGCAUCAGUUUUCCGGGAUGGAUAAUGGUAGAGAGAAGGUAGCAGUUUCGGCUGUGUUAUAGCUCUCUGCUGGAUACAUCUUGGGGGACUGAGGAACGCAGUGUGCCUUUGGCGGGGGUUUCGACCUCUUCACACUUAGGAUGCUGGUGGAAUGGCUUUAAACGACCCGUCUUGAACCCGGGAC
RNAcentral lists this ribosomal RNA (600 nucleotides) under Rhodotorula mucilaginosa. Its description in RNAcentral is "partial large subunit ribosomal RNA". It matches the Rfam family "Eukaryotic large subunit ribosomal RNA", at positions 50 to 664 of the family's 3401-position model. The record is from RNAcentral. Lineage: Eukaryota; Fungi; Basidiomycota; Microbotryomycetes; Sporidiobolales; Sporidiobolaceae.